CAGCGCCACGGUAACACAGAGGGUGCGAGCGUUAAUCGGAUUUACUGGGCGUAAAGCGUGCGUAGGCGGCUUCUUAAGUCGGAUGUGAAAUCCCUGAGCUUAACUUAGGAAUUGCAUUCGAUACUGGGAAGCUAGAGUAUGGGAGAGGAUGGUAGAAUUCCAGGUGUAGCGGUGAAAUGCGUAGAGAUCUGGAGGAAUACCGAUGGCGAAGGCAGCCAUCUGGCCUAAUACUGACGCUGAGGUACGAAAGCAUGGGGAGCAAACAGGAUUAGAUACCCCUGUAGUCCCUGUCUCUUAUACC
Molecule: ribosomal RNA, 301 nt
Filed under: uncultured bacterium
Lineage: Bacteria
Description: partial 16S ribosomal RNA
Rfam family: Bacterial small subunit ribosomal RNA
Source: RNAcentral